CCUACGGGAGGCAGCAGUGGGGAAUAUUGGGCAAUGGAGGAAACUCUGACCCAGCAACGCCGCGUGAAUGAUGAAGGUCUUCGGAUUGUAAAGUUCUUUUCUAAGGGAAGAAGAAAGUGACGGUACCUUAGGCAUAAGCCUCGGCUAACUACGUGCCAGCAGCCGCGGUAAUACGUAGGAGGCAAGCGUUAUCCGGAAUGACUGGGCGUAAAGUGUGCGUAGGUGGGUUGACAAGUUGGUAGCGUAACUCCGAGGCUUAACCUCGGCACUACUACCAAAACUGUUGGACUCGAGUGCAGGAGGGGAAAAUGGAAUUCCUAGUGGAGCGGUGGAAUGCGAAGAGAUUAGGAGGAACACCAGUGGCGAAGGCGAUUUGCUGGACUGUAACUGACACUGAGGCACGAAAGCGUGGGGAGCAAACAGGAUUAGAUACCCGAGUAGUC
RNAcentral lists this ribosomal RNA (443 nucleotides) under uncultured bacterium. Its description in RNAcentral is "partial 16S ribosomal RNA". It matches the Rfam family "Bacterial small subunit ribosomal RNA", at positions 338 to 795 of the family's 1533-position model. The record is from RNAcentral.